RNAcentral lists this ribosomal RNA (597 nucleotides) under uncultured Alphaproteobacteria bacterium. Its description in RNAcentral is "bacterial SSU rRNA". It matches the Rfam family "Bacterial small subunit ribosomal RNA", at positions 9 to 654 of the family's 1533-position model. Lineage: Bacteria; Pseudomonadati; Pseudomonadota; Alphaproteobacteria. The record is from RNAcentral.
GAGUUUGAUUCUGGCUCAGAACGAACGCUGGCGGCAGGCUUAACACAUGCAAGUCGAACGCCCCGCAAGGGGAGUGGCAGACGGGUGAGUAACACGUGGGAACGUACCCUAAGGUUCGGAAUAUUCUCGGGAAACUGGGAGCAAUACCGAAUGUGUCCGCAAGGAGAAAGAUUUAUCGCCUUAGGAUCGGCCCGCGUCAGAUUAGUUAGUUGGUGGGGUAAAAGCCUACCAAGGCGACGAUCUGUAGCUGGUCUGAGAGGACGACCAGCCACACUGGGACUGAGACACGGCCCAGACUCCUACGGGAGGCAGCAGUGGGGAAUCUUGGACAAUGGGCGCAAGCCUGAUCCAGCCAUGCCGCGUGGAUGAUGAAGGCCUUAGGGUUGUAAAAUCCUUUCGUUGGGGACGAUAAUGACGGUACCCAAAGAAGAAGCUCCGGCUAACUUCGUGCCAGCAGCCGCGGUAAUACGAAGGGGGCUAGCGUUGUUCGGAUUUACUGGGCGUAAAGCGCGUGUAGGCGGACUGGAAAGUUGGGGGUGAAAUCCCGAGGCUCAACCUCGGAACUGCCUCCAAAACUUCCAGUCUGGACUCAAGUAG